GGGCGGAGCCUGGUGUUCUCCCCAGGCGAGGCGUGGAAUGAGGAUCCAGAAGAAUCCUCUUCCAGAAAAAUCAGGAGUUAAAAUUAGUAGCAGGAUUUGCUGAUGGCCCCUGGAAGCUCAGGUUCUCAAGGGAGCAAGUAUUGAUCCCUUAGGCACCGGCUUUAAACUCCCCAGUUAGAAGGAGGCACACAUAGACCUUGGUGGGCAGUCAGCCGGCACCAGUUGCAGAACAAGAACCUGGAUGAAACUCUCAUGGAAGAUUGGAAACCAUCUAAAUAUCUACUAAUAGGGAAGAGAGUUUCAUUAAACAUAUUAAGCAAGCAAUGCAACUGUUUCAUGAAAUACUAUGCAACCAGUUCUUCCACAGCCUCUGGAAGCUCAGGUUCUCGAGGGAUCCAGUAGUGAUCUCUCAAACCCCAGCUAUAAACUCCUGGUCAGGAAGGAACCCCACAGAGAGCCUUGGCAGUCAGCCUCCACCAGUGGCAGAAUGAGACUCUGAGAGCAGCACUGGUCCCCUGGAAGCUGGGGUUCUCAAGGGAGCAAGUAUUGAUCCCUUAGGCUCCAACUCUAGACUCCCCAGGUAGAAGGAGGCACACAGAGACCAUCGUGGCCAAUCAGCCUUUACCAGCUGCAGAAAGAGAAUCUGGAUGCAAU
Long non-coding RNA from Odocoileus virginianus texanus, 654 nucleotides. RefSeq lists it as uncharacterized. The record is from RefSeq and is a predicted model, not a curated record. Lineage: Eukaryota; Metazoa; Chordata; Mammalia; Artiodactyla; Cervidae.